Molecule: ribosomal RNA, 252 nt
Filed under: uncultured bacterium
Lineage: Bacteria
Description: partial 16S ribosomal RNA
Rfam family: Bacterial small subunit ribosomal RNA
Source: RNAcentral
UACGAAGGGGGCUAGCGUUGUUCGGAUUUACUGGGCGUAAAGCGCACGUAGGCGGAUCGUUAAGUCAGGGGUGAAAUCCUGGAGCUCAACUCCAGAACUGCCUUUGAUACUGGCGAUCUUGAGUCCGGAAGAGGUGAGUGGAACUCCUAGUGUAGAGGUGGAAUUCGUAGAUAUUAGGAAGAACACCAGUGGCGAAGGCGGCUCACUGGUCCGGUACUGACGCUGAGGUGCGAAAGCGUGGGAGCAAACAGG